This is a long non-coding RNA of Alosa alosa (allis shad), 1573 nucleotides long. RefSeq lists it as uncharacterized. The transcript is spliced from 3 exons. NCBI's taxonomy places the organism in Eukaryota, Metazoa, Chordata, Actinopteri, Clupeiformes, Clupeidae. The record is from RefSeq and is a predicted model, not a curated record.
GCUUGCUGUACCCAGAGAGAUGGGCUGAGUUUCCUGUAAGGGGCAGGUCUGUAAAGGGGGCUGGUCUGUACAGAGCUGUAUAAGUCCUCCAGACUCUCAGCUCCUCCAACACUUCAGCAUCAGCACAGCUACAGACAGCUGGAGGAGGUGCAGCUAAACUACAAGCCUAGCAACUCUAAAGCUAUUUGACUCAUAGCCUGCCGCAGUCUUCCUACAACCACAUCAAGUACAACUAUGGUGUGUGCAGGUGUGCUGAGGGGACUCCAUCUUGUUCUGUCUCUUCUUCUCUGGAGUCUGGGGUGUGGAAAAAACUCUGGACCAGAAUACUCUCGCACCUGCCAUUACGUUUCUUCGCCAAAACUAUCAACCGGGACAAAACCAGGUUGCCAUAGCCUUCAACGCGCCUGUAGAUAAGUGUGCUGACUACCUCGACAACAACUUCCUUAACACAUAUCCUGGUAGCAUUGUGAAGAAGGAUCUUAACAGUCCUGAACGUCUCUACAAGGGUCAAAAACUGAUUGCAGCUAGACCAAAGCCCAUUACAGGAUCAACAAAAAACCAACAUUCAGAGUAUCUUCUCAUGAAUGUACCCAAUGUAGCUACGUCUCUCAUGAAAAAACUGCUAGAUAAUGACAAGACAGGAUGUGUGGUGUUCUAUACUUAUAAUUCCCCUUGCACAAGUACCUGCACCAAACCUGGGGGCUGCUACAGUAUCAUACAGGCUCUAGACAUGUUCAAGGACCACAAGGGUCCAAAGGCUUUUGUCUUUACAAAGGUAUGGAAGUAUGAUUGUGACAAAGAUAUUUCCACCAACCUUAAAGAAGUCCUAAAGCGUGUCCCCCUCUAUCGUUGUAAAGAUAACAAUAAUUGUGUUGCUUGUACAGACAAAAAUCUUAAAGACUGCAUGUCUGGUGAGAACAGACUGCUUGAAAAAUAUGAUCUCUAGGUCACACAAUGAACACAGAGUCUAAAAAAUGUUUAGAAGACAAGCCUAGCAAUGUCUGAGAGACUUGUCCUGCAUUGUCUGAAGAAGUGCACAGUAAAUGUUAAACCUUUCCACUGUCUGGAUUGCUUUUAGCAAUUUUUAAAAAUUCUGCAAUAAGCCUUUAAAUGAAAAAUAUUAAAAUGUGUUUGGCCUGGGUAGUCAAAAUUUGCCUUUUUAAUGUCAUUCUUAUGUUCUGAGAUUCUGUCUUUGAGAUGCCUCUUUGUUUGUAAAAAGAACAUUAGGGGUGGUGACAGAUUAAGACUACUACUACUAAUAGAAACUUUUUAUAUAUACAAUUUGCAGGCCAUGACAUAUCCAGGACUAAACGAAGAUAUUGACUUCAGUCCUUUUCUGUAAUUGUUAUUUUGUUUAAUGGGGCUCUGAUUCUUGUAUUCAUUGGUGUUCUUGCCUAAGGGAUAUGACCACCUAAUGGCCUUUUCUUGUAUUGUUUACCUGGGAAUUAAUUACCUCUUGUGAAGUCAUUUCCUGUGUUAUCCAGGAAUUAGAAAUUAGCAUAAAUACAUUAGGGAAACCAGGCACCAAACACCGUACUCAAAUUGAAGGACAAAAAAACACAAAUACCUUACU